UAGGGAAUUUUCCGCAAUGGGCGCAAGCCUGACGGAGCAACGCCGCGUGAGCGAGGACGGCCUUCGGGUUGUAAAGCUCUGUUCUUCGGGAAGAAUGACGGGAGGGCGAACAACUCUUCCGUUUGACGGUACCGAAGGAGAAAGCCCCGGCUAACUACGUGCCAGCAGCCGCGGUAAUACGUAGGGGGCGAGCGUUGUCCGGAAUUAUUGGGCGUAAAGCGCGCGUAGGCGGCCGGUUAA
RNAcentral lists this ribosomal RNA (240 nucleotides) under uncultured Planifilum sp. RNAcentral describes it as "partial 16S ribosomal RNA". It matches the Rfam family "Bacterial small subunit ribosomal RNA", at positions 355 to 586 of the family's 1533-position model. Lineage: Bacteria; Bacillati; Bacillota; Bacilli; Caryophanales; Thermoactinomycetaceae. The record is from RNAcentral.